AGCGGGGUGGAGCAGUUGGCAGCUCGUCGGGCUCAUAACCCGAAGGUCGCAGGUUCGAGUCCUGCCUCCGCAACCA
This 76-nucleotide transfer RNA is filed under the name Alicyclobacillus tolerans. Its description in RNAcentral is "tRNA-Met". It matches the Rfam family "tRNA". Rfam says of the family: Transfer RNA (tRNA) molecules are approximately 80 nucleotides in length. Their secondary structure includes four short double-helical elements and three loops (D, anti-codon, and T loops). Further hydrogen bonds mediate the characteristic L-shaped molecular structure. tRNAs have two regions of fundamental functional importance: the anti-codon, which is responsible for specific mRNA codon recognition, and the 3' end, to which the tRNAs corresponding amino acid is attached (by aminoacyl-tRNA synthetases). tRNAs cope with the degeneracy of the genetic code in two manners: having more than one tRNA (with a specific anti-codon) for a particular amino acid; and 'wobble' base-pairing, i.e. permitting non-standard base-pairing at the 3rd anti-codon position. Lineage: Bacteria; Bacillati; Bacillota; Bacilli; Caryophanales; Alicyclobacillaceae. RNAcentral also lists the same sequence under 1 other name. The record is from RNAcentral.